RNAcentral lists this small RNA (1016 nucleotides) under Vigna angularis var. angularis. Its description in RNAcentral is "Non-protein coding transcript". The record is from RNAcentral. Lineage: Eukaryota; Viridiplantae; Streptophyta; Magnoliopsida; Fabales; Fabaceae.
GCCACAACAUCAAUCAAAGUACCUAGUGAGAAAUUGUCAAAGACAAGUCCAAAUUGAGUGGGAAUCCUCGUGGUAGUUGGAUAGAUGAAGAUAAUUGACUCGUGGACAGCAUCACCACUAAUUACAAUGAAAUGAGUUAGGAACGAAGCAAUGAAGAUAAUGGGAUAUGCAUAUUUGUCAAACAAACAGUGAACCAGAUGAAACUUCAAUUAAUGCAAAUCUUCAAAUCUAGGCCCAGAUGCUUAUCAGGAAGCCAUCUACCGUAGGAUCGAUGGUGUUACCACAAAAGGAAGACCAAAUUACCUCAUCUAGGCUCUGUAAUGCCUCCAAGCCAAAUGUGUAGUAUGCCAUGAAAGGUCUUACAGCCUGUUAGGAAAGAACCAAGACAAAAUUGGUUUUCAAGCAUAUAAUUCACGGGUAAACAGAAUUACAGAGUAUGAUUUAUCCGCCACACGUUUGACCUAAUUCCUCACCAGCUCAUCUUAAUCAUCAAAUCCUCACUACACAAAACCAUCAAUAGUUUGAGUAAUCCACACAAAACAAGCUUCCAUGCCCAACCACCCUUUUGUCUGUCUGCAUUUCAUGCUCCUUUUCCUUUUCUUUUGAGAAAUAAGUUUAAAACUAUUUAUGGAAUGGCUAUAGAAAAUAUCAGAUUGUACUGUAUCCUAAAAUAUCUAUAUUAUCCUCUAGGAUUGGCUUCUGUCAUCAUCUCUGGGAUUUGCUACAAUAUUUCCUUAUGUUAUAAUAUAGCUUUAGUUUCCUCAUUAUAUCUUAAGAUUUAUUGUAUUUCCUUAUUUCAUGAUUUGUUUCCCUUAUUAGCUGAUUCUGAUCACUAGAAAUAAAGUGUUCUAGGCUUUCUGAACAUAUCAAACACAAUAAUACAUUGUUAGAUUGAUUACAUUGUAAUACAUCUCAAUUAAUACCAAUACAGUUUUUCAUUCUUUUCAAUUUUUCUCCAGCUACCAAGCCUAAAAUCACAUAGUCUCAUGUAUCAACAAAUAGUUAGCAUAAUUAAU